Molecule: long non-coding RNA, 244 nt
Filed under: Fukomys damarensis (Damara mole-rat)
Lineage: Eukaryota; Metazoa; Chordata; Mammalia; Rodentia; Bathyergidae
Description: lncRNA (ENSFDAG00000023612.1)
Source: RNAcentral
CAACCUGCCAGACAAGAGCUCAGAGGAGACCUCGGUGGAGACAUCGGACGCCUGCCUGGAGUGGAUCUCGGAUCGAGGAGGAGGCAACCGGAUCGAACAUCACAAUCAUCAGGAAAGGAGAAACAAAGUCGCGCUCCUCAGACUUGUGCAGAUAAGCUGAUUAAAGAUUGAAGAAGUUCCAUAACCUGACCAAUCAAAAGCAGAACUAAAAUUCAGAACAAUAAACCUUACUGGGAUACUACCC